This 603-nucleotide long non-coding RNA is filed under the name Sus scrofa (pig). RNAcentral's name for it is "lncRNA (ENSSSCG00015039425.1)". The record is from RNAcentral. Lineage: Eukaryota; Metazoa; Chordata; Mammalia; Artiodactyla; Suidae.
AUGCCUGGAAGAAUGGCACUGAACACUCAACAGACCCUCCAGGCUCUCAGUUCCACGGAAUCAUGCCAGCUUCCUUGUGAUUUUAUCGGAAAGGUGGGCAGUUUGGCUCCACCGCGACCCACAGGGCAACAUCUUCUGGGUAUCGAUUCUGCUGCAGUGAAAAGGAAGCCCUUCCUUUGGAAAACAGUAAGAAAGAGGACAGGAGCCCAGGCGUUCCGGACUGUUAUUCCUAUUGGCUGCUGUCAACCAGGACAGUGGCCUCGGAGUGACCAGCCCAGAGGAAGAAGAGGCUGCGGCAGGCCCUGCCCUCCGGGGGUUGAUGUCAGGGCCCAAAGGAGAGUGGGCACCUACUAGUAGCCCCUGCGCUCUGCAGCAGCUUCUCACGGCUCAUCACCUGUUUUAUACAGAGGUGAGCACGCGCUCUUCCCACCCGCCCGGUUCUUCCCGCCCCACAACGGCGUCACCUACCUACGCUGACCCUAUAAGUGGUUUUGAAAUCAGUGAGUCUGUUUCUGGCUUUUNAGUUCUUCCCGCCCCACAACGGCGUCACCUACGCUGACCCUAUAGGUGGUUUUGAAAUCAGUGAGUCUGUUUCUGGCUUUU